Molecule: ribosomal RNA, 406 nt
Filed under: uncultured bacterium
Lineage: Bacteria
Description: partial 16S ribosomal RNA
Rfam family: Bacterial small subunit ribosomal RNA
Source: RNAcentral
AUUGAACGCUGGCGGCAGGCCUAACACAUGCAAGUCGAGCGAGCGGCGGACGGGUGAGUAAUGUCUGGGAAACUACCUGAUGGAGGGGGAUAACUACUGGAAACGGUAGCUAAUACCGCAUACCAUCAGAUGUGCCCAGAUGGGAUUAGCUAGUAGGUGGGGUAAUGGCUCACCUAGGCGACGAUCCCUAGCUGGUCUGCGAGGAUUACCAGCCACAAUGGAACGGAGACACGGUCGCGAUUCCUACUGGAGGCAGCAGUGGGGAAUAUUGCACAAUGGGCGCGAGCCUGAUGCAGCCAGGCAGCGUGUGUGAAGAAGGCCUUCGGGUUGUAAAGAACUUUCAGCGGGGAGGCGUUACCCGCAGAAGAAGCACCGGCUAACUCCGUGCCAGCAGCCGCGGUAAUUC